UACAGAGGUCUCAAGCGUUGUUCGGAUUCAUUGGGCGUAAAGGGUGCGUAGGCGGCGCCGUAAGUCGGGUGUGAAAUUUCGGAGCUUAACUCCGAAACUGCAUUCGAUACUGCGGUGCUUGAGGACUGGAGAGGAGACUGGAAUUUACGGUGUAGCGGUGAAAUGCGUAGAUAUCUGCAGGAACACCCGUGGCGAAAGCGGCGAGCUGGAUCACUACUGACGCUGAAGAACGAAAGCUAGGGGAGCAAACAGG
This 253-nucleotide ribosomal RNA is filed under the name uncultured bacterium. RNAcentral's name for it is "partial 16S ribosomal RNA". It matches the Rfam family "Bacterial small subunit ribosomal RNA", at positions 524 to 776 of the family's 1533-position model. The record is from RNAcentral.